This 253-nucleotide ribosomal RNA is filed under the name uncultured bacterium. Its description in RNAcentral is "partial 16S ribosomal RNA". It matches the Rfam family "Bacterial small subunit ribosomal RNA", at positions 524 to 776 of the family's 1533-position model. The record is from RNAcentral.
UACAGAGGUCCCAAGCGUUGUUCGGAUUCACUGGGCGUAAAGGGUGCGUAGGCGGUCGGGUAAGUCUGGCGUGAAAUCUCCAAGCCUAACUUGGAAACUGCGUUGGAUACUAUCCGGCUCGAGGAAUGGAGGGGAGACUGGAAUACUUGGUGUAGCAGUGAAAUGCGUAGAUAUCAGGAGGAAUACCGAUGGCGAAGGCAGGUCUCUGGGCUGACACUGACGCUCAUGCACGAAAGCGUGGGGAGCAAACAGG